CAUGCAAGUCGAACGAACUCUGGUAUUGAUUGGUGCUUGCAUCAUGAUUUACAUUUGAGUGAGUGGCGAACUGGUGAGUAACACGUGGGAAACCUGCCCAGAAGCGGGGGAUAACACCUGGAAACAGAUGCUAAUACCGCAUAACAACUUGGACCGCAUGGUCCGAGCUUGAAAGAUGGCUUCGGCUAUCACUUUUGGAUGGUCCCGCGGCGUAUUAGCUAGAUGGUGGGGUAACGGCUCACCAUGGCAAUGAUACGUAGCCGACCUGAGAGGGUAAUCGGCCACAUUGGGACUGAGACACGGCCCAAACUCCUACGGGAGGCAGCAGUAGGGAAUCUUCCACAAUGGACGAAAGUCUGAUGGAGCAACGCCGCGUGAGUGAAGAAGGGUUUCGGCUCGUAAAACUCUGUUGUUAAAGAAGAACAUAUCUGAGAGUAACUGUUCAGGUAUUGACGGUAUUUAACCAGAAAGCCACGGCUAACUACGUGCCAGCAGCCGCGGUAAUACGUAGGUGGCAAGCGUUGUCCGGAUUUAUUGGGCGUAAAGCGAGCGCAGGCGGUUUUUUAAGUCUGAUGUGAAAGCCUUCGGCUCAACCGAAGAAGUGCAUCGGAAACUGGGAAACUUGAGUGCAGAAGAGGACAGUGGAACUCCAUGUGUAGCGGUGAAAUGCGUAGAUAUAUGGAAGAACACCAGUGGCGAAGGCGGCUGUCUGGUCUGUAACUGACGCUGAGGCUCGAAAGUAUGGGUAGCAAACAGGAUUAGAUACCCUGGUAGUCCAUACCGUAAACGAUGAAUGCUAAGUGUUGGAGGGUUUCCGCCCUUCAGUGCUGCAGCUAACGCAUUAAGCAUUCCGCCUGGGGAGUACGGCCGCAAGGCUGAAACUCAAAGGAAUUGACGGGGGCCCGCACAAGCGGUGGAGCAUGUGGUUUAAUUCGAAGCUACGCGAAGAACCUUACCAGGUCUUGACAUACUAUGCAAAUCUAAGAGAUUAGACGUUCCCUUCGGGGACAUGGAUACAGGUGGUGCAUGGUUGUCGUCAGCUCGUGUCGUGAGAUGUUGGGUUAAGUCCCGCAACGAGCGCAACCCUUAUUAUCAGUUGCCAGCAUUAAGUUGGGCACUCUGGUGAGACUGCCGGUGACAAACCGGAGGAAGGUGGGGAUGACGUCAAAUCAUCAUGCCCCUUAUGACCUGGGCUACACACGUGCUACAAUGGAUGGUACAACGAGUUGCGAACUCGCGAGAGUAAGCUAAUCUCUUAAAGCCAUUCUCAGUUCGGAUUGUAGGCUGCAACUCGCCUACAUGAAGUCGGAAUCGCUAGUAAUCGCGGAUCAGCAUGCCGCGGUGAAUACGUUCCCGGGCCUUGUACACACCGCCCGUCACACCAUGAGAGUUUGUAACACCCAAAGUCGGUGGGGUAACCUUUUAGGAACCAGCCGCCUAAGGUGGGACAGAUGAUUAGGGUGAAGUCGACAGCAAGAUGU
Molecule: ribosomal RNA, 1481 nt
Filed under: Lactiplantibacillus plantarum
Lineage: Bacteria; Bacillati; Bacillota; Bacilli; Lactobacillales; Lactobacillaceae
Description: bacterial SSU rRNA
Rfam family: Bacterial small subunit ribosomal RNA
Source: RNAcentral